CGGGGUUUCACCAUGUCGCCCAGGCUGGUCUCGAACUCCUGGGCUCAAGUGAUCUGCCCACUUUGGCCUCCCAAAGUGCUGGAAUUACAGGCCUGAGCCACUGUGCCCGGCCAACUAGUGACUCAAACUGUGCACUGAGAAGCCCGGGACCUCUGUGGGUGAUCGUGGAAGUGAGAGAGGAGAGUCUAAGGAGGUUCUGCUCAUGGCAGAUGACCAGAAUGCAAUAAACCAAGCCAAACCAAGCCCUGCCAAUUUCCUGUCUGACCAAAGCAAGUCAUGUGGCUAAGCCCAACAUCAGUGGGGCAGGGAAGUACACACCACCCACGUGGAACGGAGAGGGAAAUGAACACUGGCUGAACAACAGUCCACACUGUCACAGGGCACAGAGCCUGCCAUGUUACUACUUGCAAGUGAAGGAAUGGACGAAGGAAGGAAAGAACGAAUGAAUGAAGGAUGGAAGGCAACUGCUUAACUACUGCUCCACCAACGGAACUCAUUCCCUUCCCAGGAUCAUAUCUUUAAACAGCUCCUGACCCCAGCUUCCUGGGGGAAGGGAGGAAGAGCAGAUCAGAAUAGGCAUCUGGAGACUCAAGUUCUAAUCGUGAGCCUGAGGGUGCUCAAGUGACUGCCCCUCUUUGGGCUUCACUUUCACAUCUGAAAUAUGAAGGAUUUGGUUCAAUGAUCUAAGGGAGCCCCACCCCCCAACUCUGUCCAUGUGGAGGUCUAUGCAAUAAAUCCAAAGAAGCCAGUCACAAAAGACCACAUAGUAUAUGAUUCCGUUUAUGUGAAAUGUCUAGAAUAGGCAAUUCUAUGGAGACAGAAAGUAGAUUAGUG
RNAcentral lists this long non-coding RNA (834 nucleotides) under Homo sapiens (human). RNAcentral describes it as "HSALNT0290535". The record is from RNAcentral. Lineage: Eukaryota; Metazoa; Chordata; Mammalia; Primates; Hominidae.